This 328-nucleotide long non-coding RNA is filed under the name Malus domestica (apple). RNAcentral describes it as "long non-coding RNA (MDOM_LNC004746)". Lineage: Eukaryota; Viridiplantae; Streptophyta; Magnoliopsida; Rosales; Rosaceae. The record is from RNAcentral.
AAAAUGCUACGCAAUCGCACUACGUAACUCCGCAGCAAUUACGCAAGUAGUUUCUUGCACUGAACAACAACGUCACCACCGAGGAAAAAUUAUGAUCAAAAGGCACUGCACAGUGUAACCCUGCUACAGUCUUUUGCACAGCACCAUACGGUAAAAAGUGACUCACUGCAACAAGCACCAGGCAGCAAAAAGCAUAGUUAUACCCACAUCCUGCUCACUCUGCCAUCAACUACCACAUCCCUGAAAGCUCCUUGAGAAUCCAGGCACAGUGUUCGUUUUCUCAAAAUUAAAGAUUUCUAGCACUACAACAAAGAAAUCCAUCAGUGGG